RNAcentral lists this long non-coding RNA (597 nucleotides) under Sus scrofa (pig). Its description in RNAcentral is "lncRNA (ENSSSCG00035071740.1)". Lineage: Eukaryota; Metazoa; Chordata; Mammalia; Artiodactyla; Suidae. The record is from RNAcentral.
AAGCACUAUUGCGCUUCUUCAUUUUUUUUUUUUCUUCUCCAUUUCAAGCUAAGAGAAAGGAGGAAGAGAGGCAGAAAAGGAGUCAAAGAAGGACGGUGGAAAGGAGAGAGGAAGGAAAACGAAGGUUCCAGGAAAGACUCCAACCACCUGAGCAUGUGCAGGGCCUCCAGCUGCUACAUCCUGAAGUGUGAUCCUGUCGCUGUCACAGUUGAAGGAAGACUGUGUCCCAGCAGUGCCUUGACUAAGAGGCCUCUCUCAGAGAUACGAGGGUGGCAUCGGAUGGCGCUCCAGCUACCACAAGAAGCGCUGGCUGCUCCCUCUCCUCCUUCCCAGAACACUGACUUCUCCAGUUCUCCCAGUGGCAUACCAACUUCUACCCUUUCUCUAUCCCAUUUUCAGAUUUCCAGUUCUUACAAAAUUUCUUUGAGGCUCACCCAAGCUUAAAGCUGAUGAACCACAGAACAGGUUGGAACCAGAGCUGUGUCUUAAAAAUAGGAAUCAUUUCUAAAUUACUUGACUUGAAGUCAAUACUUUCCCACCAUGAAGCCUAUUACAUAAAUGAAUAAAACUAUAGAGUAAUGAAUUAAAGCUAAUUUU